CGCCUGCCGAGGCAGUGCCCCUACCCGAUACGGUACCGUGUCCAGCAAUCAGGUCCCUGGUACCUUUAGGUCUCGGCAGUAGGGUAGCAGCACGGGGGCAGUAACGCCCCAACGAGAACCUAGAGCUCCCUUGCUCCCGCCGUAGCUCCUGCCGACCGCCGCACCACCCUACCUCCUCUUGCCGCUGCACCACCUAGCUCCCGCCGUAGCUCAAGCACGAGCUAGACCACCAGUUCAUUCGAGAAAAAAAAAGGCGGCGGGGAGAUAACUAAGUGUCUGGAAAAGAACUUGAGGUCGCAGGCAUCCAAGGGUGAAGCCCUUCUCAAGCGGCUAUUGGAACUCGUGGGCCUAGGCUACGGCGACUCCGACGACGGGUCCCCCCUCCAACCGCGAGAACCGGGCCUCCUAAGUUUACCACUUAGACCAAUUAGCCCUCCGUGGACCUACCUGGUUUUCCCCUUCGCACUCCGACUCAAGGAUUCUUACAACCCUCCUAGCCAAGGAUACUGUUAAAACUGACUAGUUUUGUCUCGUUACCUCCACCGUUAGUCGGCCUAAAAAGGUGUUUGACACGUAUACAUCACGUUCACCGUGUAGAACUUCUUCCGAUUCCCCACGUACUCCUGUGACACGUGUUUCUUCUUGUUCAAGUCUCGACUCAAGGUAUUUUACCGCUUGGUGUACGACUGUCAUAUAGACAUCUACUCAAGUUCAGUCAGACCCGAUACAACGAACUAUUUAUAUUGGAGUCCGUCGUGGACAUGUACUGUGUCUAAAUACUAUAUUCUCUUUUCACCCGCUUCGGAAUAAAGUUCCCGCACAAGACAAGACCCGAUACAUCGUGUACUUGACCGUUUUACCCGGUAUAAACGGGGAGGAUCAUACCGCUUCUACUGUUCGUGGGUUACCUCACUCUCCCACUUGGUAUACGACUUCUAUACGCACGGCGGUCGGUCGGGCUACGUGUACAAACAGUUCGUCAUAUACUCUGAAGUCAAACUGUCCCUCUCUCUCCUCUCGAUACUCCUCUUUUUUUGAUACUAACCACCACAACACUCCUCAUGUUUGGAACUCUAGCUCUCUGUACGCUCGUUCAACAUGGGUUCUCGGUACAGUGACUCGAACUCUUUCCAGCUGUCAUAGACUGUUGGGUGUUAUUACGAAGUUUCGCUCUCUCUAACUCGUCCCACCACAUACUCAAGUACUCAUUCCUGUCUCCAAGGGUUAAACUCACGCUCACACCCGUAAAACUUGUGUGUCCGUACGAUACAACAGUACACUUUCCCUCCUGUCACCGCACAUGUAACACGUGAUGCCGGCGCUCAAGUGACCCAACACGGUGGCCAGUGGCGACUCGUCCCAUUCUACGUUCUUAUCGUCGAACCUUCGGACCUUCUACGUCCUUGUCGUCGGAACUUCCAGUGACGGCCAUGUGGACGUGGUGUGGUCCGGAGAACCUCCCGGAGACAAGACUUCACGUAAACACAUAACACCGC
Molecule: ribosomal RNA, 1496 nt
Filed under: Triticum aestivum (bread wheat)
Lineage: Eukaryota; Viridiplantae; Streptophyta; Magnoliopsida; Poales; Poaceae
Description: partial small subunit ribosomal RNA
Source: RNAcentral